AUACUUACCUGGCAGGGGAGAAACCAUGGUCAUGCAGGUAAUUUUCCCAGGGUGAGGCUUAUCCAUCGCACUCGGGAUGUGCUGACUCCUGUGAUUUCCCCAAAUGUGAGAAACUCAACUGCAUAAUUUUUGGUAGUGGGGGACUGCAUUUGUGUCUCCCCA
RNAcentral lists this small nuclear RNA (162 nucleotides) under Sorex araneus (European shrew). Its description in RNAcentral is "U1 spliceosomal RNA (ENSSARG00000015545.1)". It matches the Rfam family "U1 spliceosomal RNA". From Rfam's summary of the family: U1 is a small nuclear RNA (snRNA) component of the spliceosome (involved in pre-mRNA splicing). Its 5' end forms complementary base pairs with the 5' splice junction, thus defining the 5' donor site of an intron. There are significant differences in sequence and secondary structure between metazoan and yeast U1 snRNAs, the latter being much longer (568 nucleotides as compared to 164 nucleotides in human). The record is from RNAcentral. Lineage: Eukaryota; Metazoa; Chordata; Mammalia; Eulipotyphla; Soricidae.